UACGAAGGGGGCUAGCGUUGCUCGGAAUCACUGGGCGUAAAGGGUGCGUAGGCGGGUCUUUAAGUCAGGGGUGAAAUCCUGGAGCUCAACUCCAGAACUGCCUUUGAUACUGAAGAUCUGGAGUUCGGGAGAGGUGAGUGGAACUGCGAGUGUAGAGGUGAAAUUCGUAGAUAUUCGCAAGAACACCAGUGGCGAAGGCGGCUCACUGGCCCGAUACUGACGCUGAGGCACGAAAGCGUGGGGAGCAAACAGG
Molecule: ribosomal RNA, 253 nt
Filed under: uncultured bacterium
Lineage: Bacteria
Description: partial 16S ribosomal RNA
Rfam family: Bacterial small subunit ribosomal RNA
Source: RNAcentral